AGUCCGGUCAGAGCUGGCCUCUGAGUGCAGGAACCUAGGGGAGACUUCUGAGCCCAGGGACUCGAGCUGACUGCAUUCCAACGGGCGCCCUCUGGCGGCCACGUGGGGAACAGCCUGAGGAUGGGGAACAGGAGCCCGGGAGGAAGGCUGUCAAAACUCACGCUGGAAGUGGGGACUGGGAGCCGACGCGUGGGAUUAGAUUUGGGACUUAUUUCGGAGGCAGAGGGAAAAAGAGGAGUUUCCAGAACUCCACCUUUCCGUCCCAGCAUCUAGCAAGAUGUUUGAGAGACUCGUGAUGGUCACACACCUACUGUGUGCCAGGGUCUUGGCCAAUUAAAUGACUUACAUACAUGAUUUCAUUAAGUCCAAAUUGGUCGUAAGGACUUAAUGAAAUCAUGUAUGUAAAUCAGGAGGGAAAGGUGGAACACGUGCAGUAGGAGUCUGGAUUUAUUUAGAAAUAUUUGCAGCCCCAGGCUUUGAAGCCAAGGCCUUGUGCACGCUGGGCGAGUGCUCUACCACUGAGCUACAUCUCCAGCCUUUGUACUUUUCUUUUGAGAAAGGUCUUGAACUUAUGUUCUCCUGCCUCAGCCUCUUGAGUUGAGAUUACAGGCAUACAUCACCAUGCCUGACAUAGAUUUAUUUUAAAAGUAGAGUCUAUAUGAUUCGCUCAGCAGCUAUUUGUGGAUUAGAUGGAGGAUAGAUAAUAGCAAUACUUGCAGAUACAUUUAGUGUGUGGCUGGCGCUGUUCUCAGCACAUUAUCUCAUUUAAUCCUCACAUCACGCUUUUAUUAGUGCUGUUUUGAACUUGGGGAAACCAAGACACAGAAAGGGUAAGUACUUUGUCCAGUCACUGUGCUACUAACAACUAUAAUAUUUUAUUACAGAAGCAGCGCAGUGAGCUCUGGAAGUCGGAAAGAUCCAUUUGGGUUCAAUUCCCACAUGGCUGGUGGCCUUGGGCAGCUAGUUCACUUAGCAUCUCUCGCUGAAAAAGAGAUAAUGCCUGAAAGAAGAGUGAGCCCAGGGUGUGGAAGCUACUCACUAAAUGAUAGCAAAGAUUUUCUUUAAGGGAUUAAGAUACAGCAGUGAUCCCGCCCUGCAGGCCCUCAGUCUCCCUUCAGGUAUUACCUUGUCUGUCUCCUGGAGAAGUGACUUCGACGGCCACAGGCGGGCAGAUCAACAGGGGAGUGCGCGCACCGCCCUCUGGUGGCCAGUGGGAAAAACGUCUCCGCCCGCUUGCAAGACCUUCCUGUGCCUGUUUACAACUGGAAACUAAAGCUAGAGUUUAACUCCGCAUUUUAUUAUGAUGAUUAUUAUUUGCACUACUAGGAGUUGGACCCAGGCCCUUGUGUCUCCUGGGGAUGGGACUCUGGGACCUCUCAGGUGCCAGGAAAGUGCUUUGCUGCUUAACCACAGCCCCAGCUAGUUUCCAGAUUUUUCGAACGAGUGGUUUCACAGAAGAAAUAUGAGAAGUUGACAUUUGACUAAAGAGCUGAAGCAAGUGAUGUAGUGAGCCUGGCAGGUAAUUGGGCAAUUAUAAGAGGAUUAAAGUGCAUGUGUACAGAAGGUUUCCGAAGCUUGUUAACAGUAGCCAUAUAAAGGGCAAGAGAUUACCAUAUAUCCACUUUCCGUGAUUCAAAUCACAAAAUAAAAUGACUGGCACCUCAGGGAAUCUGAUCUGCAUACCUGUAACUGUCAUCAACUCCUGCGAAGGCAUACCACAGCACUUACCACCAUUCGUCUUAAGCUACUUAUUAUAUCUAAAUUUUGGUUUAUGCAAGUAAUCCCUUAAGUCUAGUCAAUUCCAGAUGGGGCUUCUUUGACUGUCUUCCUGUCUUUGGAAUGCACCAACCUCACCAAACAAAGAGAGCGACUUCUCGCAUGCUAUGUCCUCUGCCUGGGCAGCCAGCCUCUUUCUCCCUCAGACCUGUCCUCCUGACUUAGACACCAAUCCUUGCUGUGAAUUCAUAUUUACCCAUGAGGGCCUUGUUCCUCAUCUGGACUUCCCGUCCACAUUUCCCCCAGCAGAGUCUAGCACUCAUUGCUGAUUUAGAGAAUGAAUGAGCGAUUAUAAUGGAUACACUUUUGUGUGUGUGUGUGUGUGUGUGUAUGUGUAUA
Non-coding RNA from Ictidomys tridecemlineatus (thirteen-lined ground squirrel), 2115 nucleotides. NCBI's taxonomy places the organism in Eukaryota, Metazoa, Chordata, Mammalia, Rodentia, Sciuridae. The record is from RefSeq and is a predicted model, not a curated record.